UACGAGAGCCCCAAGUGUUAUCCGGAAUUAUUGGGCGUAAAGGGUGCGUAGGUGGCUGUAUUAGUCUUUCGUUAAAUCCUGGGGCUUAACCCCAGAACCGCGAAGGAAACGGUACGGCUAGAGGUUGUGUUGGGUGUAUGGAACUCAUGGAGUAGGGGUGAAAUCCGUUGAUAUCAUGGGGAACACCAAAAGCGAAGGCAGUACACUGGCACAAAUCUGACACUGAGGCACGAAACCCUGGGUAGCGAAUGGG
Molecule: ribosomal RNA, 253 nt
Filed under: uncultured bacterium
Lineage: Bacteria
Description: partial 16S ribosomal RNA
Rfam family: Bacterial small subunit ribosomal RNA
Source: RNAcentral